RNAcentral lists this non-coding RNA (196 nucleotides) under Holdemanella biformis. RNAcentral's name for it is "Eubacterium biforme T-box sequence". It matches the Rfam family "T-box leader". From Rfam's summary of the family: Uncharged tRNA acts as the effector for transcription antitermination of genes in the T-box leader family. T-boxes are found upstream of many aminoacyl-tRNA synthetase genes and some amino acid biosynthetic genes usually in Gram-positive bacteria. Lineage: Bacteria; Bacillati; Bacillota; Erysipelotrichia; Erysipelotrichales; Erysipelotrichaceae. The record is from RNAcentral.
AAAUUCGCUAUGAUAAGAAAGAGUACACAGAUUAUCUAUUUCUUAGAGAGAAACUGGCUGGUGUAAAGUUUCAAAUAGACCUGUGGAAUACACCUUGGAGCUUCAAUUUUGACGUAUACCUGCGUUAAAGGUUUAAGUGCAUACAAAAAAUAUUUUGUAUGAAGUAAGGUGGUACCGCGAUCAAAUCGUCCUUAUU